Molecule: long non-coding RNA, 227 nt
Filed under: Manihot esculenta (cassava)
Lineage: Eukaryota; Viridiplantae; Streptophyta; Magnoliopsida; Malpighiales; Euphorbiaceae
Description: long non-coding RNA (MESC_LNC009211)
Source: RNAcentral
CAAAGGCGAUACAAUGGAAAGAUGUCAAUCUACCAGAAACAUGGAAAUAUCCAGUCAAAACCAUGCCAAGUUUACCUGCUAAGGAAAAUACAGAAAUAGAUUAUAUUAUUCAAAAUAAUGAUGGAACAGUAGAAUUAAAAUUUAAAAGAUCUAAUUCUUUUAGACAAACCACUCCUAGUAUAUAUCAACCAUCUAGACAUUCCUUAGAAUCCUCCCGUAGAAGACAU